RNAcentral lists this ribosomal RNA (250 nucleotides) under uncultured bacterium. RNAcentral describes it as "partial 16S ribosomal RNA". It matches the Rfam family "Bacterial small subunit ribosomal RNA", at positions 524 to 773 of the family's 1533-position model. The record is from RNAcentral.
GACAUAGGGGGCAAGCGUUAUCCGGAAUCACUGGGCGUAAAGCGUGCGUAGGCGGUUAAUUAAGUUAUAUGUGAAAGCCUUGGGCUCAACCCAAGAACUGCAUAUAAUACUGGUUGACUAGAGUAUUGGAGAGGUAAGUGGAAUUCCUAGUGUAGCGGUAAAAUGCGUAGAUAUUAGGAGGAACACCAGAGGCGAAGGCGGCUUACUGGACAAUAACUGACGCUGAGGUACGAAAGUGUGGGGAGCAAAC